This 451-nucleotide ribosomal RNA is filed under the name uncultured bacterium. RNAcentral describes it as "bacterial SSU rRNA". It matches the Rfam family "Bacterial small subunit ribosomal RNA", at positions 354 to 796 of the family's 1533-position model. The record is from RNAcentral.
GUGGGGAAUCUUGGGCAAUGGGCGAAAGCCUGACCCAGCGACGCCGCGUGAAGGAUGAAGGUCUUCGGAUUGUAAACUUCUGUGAGGACAGAAAAAGGGUGCAUUCAUUAAUACCGUGUGCAUUUGAUAGUAUGUCCAGAGGAAGCCCCGGCUAACUCCGUGCCAGCAGCCGCGGUAAUACGGAGGGGGCUAGCGUUGUUCGGAAUUACUGGGCGUAAAGGGCGCGUAGGCGGCUUGCUAAGUCGGUGGUGAAAUCCCGUGGCUCAACUACGGAACUGCCAUCGAUACUGGCGAGCUUGAAUCCGGGAUAGGUCGGCGGAAUUGCUGGUGUAGCGGUGAAAUGCGUAGAUAUCAGCAGGAACACCGAUGGCGAAGGCAGCUGGCUGGACCGGUAUUGACGCUGAGGCGCGAAAGCGUGGGUAGCAAACAGGAUUAGAUACCCUUGUAGUCC